This 1010-nucleotide long non-coding RNA is filed under the name Anser cygnoides (Swan goose). RNAcentral's name for it is "lncRNA (ENSACDG00005010769.1)". Lineage: Eukaryota; Metazoa; Chordata; Aves; Anseriformes; Anatidae. The record is from RNAcentral.
AUGAUGAUAUUCUCCUACCCAAGUGCACUCAUGGUGGCACGUAACGCCAUCCUCGGAAGCUGGCAGGACAUCCUGAAAAAGACGUUCCUCACCUCGGGCAAUGAGACAGCCAAAUGUUCCUGCUCACACUUGUCCUUGGAGGCUUUCUUUGGUGUCCAUCCUCUGGAAGCUGGCCGUAGGCAUGAGCAUUCUGAGCGUCUGACCCAGCCCAUCCCACAAAUCUUCUCACCAUCGCAUCUGCCAGGCCACCUUGGGGACACCUUCCUGCACCGCCACCCAGACCACCACCUCCCUCUUCCAUAUCACGCAGACUUUCAUCAACUCAGUGCCUACCGCCAUACUGAGAGAUCCUUAAGACCUUGAGAAGCACUGCUCCUGUGCAUUGCUGACAAUGAUCCUAUACAAACUUUUCAGCCUUAUCACAACUUCUGACUUACUUCUGUGAAUGGAUCAUGUAAGGACAACUCCCCUGUUGCAGGGAGAGCUGAGCAAGACAGAAAUAUAUUUUUGUCUUCAAAGUCAGUAAGAGUUCCAUCUAAUAGACUGAGGGAAAUAUGCAUUCUCUUUUUUCAGUGCAGUGCUGGUUUUCUGGACGUUCUCCCCUCCUUAAUAUGCUAGUUCUCCUUUCAUGGAAGACUUCAGAGCAUUAUCCUUCCUUGCUAAGAUAAGCAACAGCUAGGCUCGCCUGCCACAAGCUUCAACAAUUGUAUUUAACAUAUUGCCCUGGAAAAUGCCCAUUGACUUUAACACAAAGCAAUAUUCUUUCAGCUCUCUAAAUAUAUAUGUGGUUUGAUUUACCUUUGCCUUAUAAAGGCAUAUUGACUGUGAAAGUGUUGCACUUAAAGAUAUAUAAAUAUAAGAAUGUGUGUCUAUAUAUGGUUAUAUUCAAACUUUUCAUUUGUAAAUAUACACAUAUAGACAAACACAACCUGUGCAAGAGUAGCCUAAAAUGAGCUAAAUCCAGGAACAGAUUAAAUAAAUUGCUGUAAGAGAAGUGACUUUUGGAGACU